CCUACGGGAGGCAGCAGUGAGGAAUAUUUGUCAAUGGCCGGAAGGCUGAACCAGCCAUGCCGCGUGAAGGUCAGUGCCCUAUGGGCGUUAAACUUCUUUUGUGCGGGAGCAAUAAUGGUCACGUGUGGCCAGACGAGAGUACCGUACGAAUAAGCAUCGGCUAACUCCGUUCCAGCAGCCGCGGUAAUACGGGGGAUGCAAGCGUUAUCCGGAUUUAUUGGGUUUAACGGGUGCGUAGGCUGUUAGGUAAGUCAGCGGUGAAAUGCCCCCGCUCAACGGGGUGAAGUGCCAUUGAUACUGCCUGGCUGGAAUGCGGAUGCCGUGGGAGGAAUGUGUGGUGUAGCGGUGAAAUGCAUAGAUAUCACACAGAACACCGAUUGCGAAGGCAUCUCACGAAUCCGCGAUUGACGCUGAUGCACGAAAGCGUGGGUAUCAAACAGGAUUAGAUACCCUUGUAGUC
RNAcentral lists this ribosomal RNA (460 nucleotides) under uncultured bacterium. RNAcentral's name for it is "partial 16S ribosomal RNA". It matches the Rfam family "Bacterial small subunit ribosomal RNA", at positions 338 to 795 of the family's 1533-position model. The record is from RNAcentral.